UCCUAAAUCCUUUAACGAGGAUCUAUUGGAGGGCAAGUCUGGUGCCAGCAGCCGCGGUAAUUCCAGCUCCAAUAGCGUAUAUUAAAGUUGUUGCGGUUAAAAAGCUCGUAGUUGGUUCUGCGUGCCACGCUGUCGGUUCACCGCCUGUCGGUGCAACUGGCAUGCCGUGGCAUGUCCUGUCGGUGGCGUACAGGCUUCGCGGCGCUCCCUGCAUGAUACGUUGUGUAGGUCGUCGAGUUGUUCUCGUACGCCGGCUCAAUCCUGCCGCGGUGCUCUUUACCGAGUGUCGAGGUAGGCCGGCACAUUUUACUUUGAACAAAUUAGAGUGCUUAAAGCAGGCUCUUAAAUCAGCCUGAAUAGUGGUGCAUGGAAUAAUGGAACAGGACCUUGGUUCUAUUUUGUUGGUUUUAGGAAUCCAAGGUAAUGAUCAAUAAGGACAGGCGGGGGCAUUCGUAUUGCGACGUUAGAGGUGAAAUUCUUGGAUC
RNAcentral lists this ribosomal RNA (485 nucleotides) under Dysdercus decussatus. RNAcentral describes it as "SSU rRNA". It matches the Rfam family "Eukaryotic small subunit ribosomal RNA", at positions 523 to 926 of the family's 1831-position model. The record is from RNAcentral. Lineage: Eukaryota; Metazoa; Arthropoda; Insecta; Hemiptera; Pyrrhocoridae.